Molecule: non-coding RNA, 238 nt
Organism: Camellia sinensis
Lineage: Eukaryota; Viridiplantae; Streptophyta; Magnoliopsida; Ericales; Theaceae
Source: RefSeq, a predicted model, not a curated record
AAGACAUACCUUGAGUAGAUAUGGUUGUCAAGUGUCAUAUUCUUUUAGCUGAAUGGUUCUUCCUAAAUAUUUUAUUUUUCAGAAUCGGAUGAUUCAAGUGAUGAUGAAGAUAUCCCUCUACCCUUGACUGAGAAUGGGAAAAUUGAAUCUAAGGUGGAGGAAGUGAAACCAGAUGCAAGUAAAGGUAAAACUGCUAAACCUGAAUCUUCUGCUAAGCCAAAGGUGACUGUUGUGGAGC